Solenopsis invicta (red fire ant) is the source of this 5369-nucleotide long non-coding RNA. RefSeq lists it as uncharacterized. The transcript has 2 exons. The record is from RefSeq and is a predicted model, not a curated record. NCBI's taxonomy places the organism in Eukaryota, Metazoa, Arthropoda, Insecta, Hymenoptera, Formicidae.
GGUGCACAGCAUCCUUCCCUCGCAGCGGCGAAGCGACCGAACUGGUCCUGAGAGAGACACGGCGAGGGGGGCUCGCGAGCCGUGGCGUGGCGGGCCCCGUUUCUGGGCCCGCUGUCUGCAGCCCUCAGUCGCUCGCUGAUGCUUGGACGAGCAGGAGUGUCGAGUUAUCCUAGGGCAGGGCUCGUCGCGAUUCUGCUGAUUUCUCACUUUUUCGGGGGAGGGAUCCUUCCGAAGGAGGGCGACGAUUCGCGCUCGCGCCGAUUUCGUAUCGACAUCCGGCCGAUCGCCGCUCUCUCGUCUCAUUCAUCCCGAGUAGACCGAUCGAACGAUCGAUACCGACUCUCGAAGAUCACCGACAAUUAAUCCAGGAUGAUUCAAACUGCUACGUAGUGGGAGGAAAACCCGGGAUGAGUUUUCUUCCGCCUUGGAUUUUGAGAGGGAUCCAUGACGAUUCGACGAUCGCUGUUUCGCGCCACUCGGCUCUCGCAUUCUUGACCUUGACUCCCGAUUCCCGCCCUGGUCAAUGAUCAGUCGGUCCGUCGCUGACAGUUAACGGAUGUCCCGCGAGCUGCUCCGAAUUAGAAACGGAGUUUCGAGAUAUUGACAGCGUGGCAUGAACGUACUUACGGAUAUUUGAAAUCAUCGAGGAGUGUCGAUUGACAGUGUAAUUUUACCGUUCAAUUGAAUUUACUGUAGAUUGCAACCUUACGAUGAUCAAGUUACCGACGUUGAAGAUGACGGAUUCGAUAGGUAAGGGCACGAUGAAAGGAUCUCCUCUUCUUCUCCCCAUGAGACGAUGGAAGAAGAUUACCAAGCUAUAUCGAAGUCUCGAUCGUUUCCCUCGCGUUCGCUUGAGAGUCUACGCUUUCCGUAACUCGUCAUCGUUGCUGCGAAAGGAGCAAGGGGGGACGUUGCAAUAUCUCCAUGGUCUUGAGUGAUGAGAAUGCUUAACUUCUCAAGUGUGCGAAGCAAACGGAUCUUUAAAAUGAGAAAGAGAAACACCGGUUACGUUAUCGCGACCGGACGGAUGUCACGUCGAUUGAAUUGGCGUGUCCUGGAAAAUCGAACGGGAGGACUCUCGCUGGACCCGGUGAAAAGUAUAAUCCCGACCCGGCGCCUAUGCUACGAGGCGUGGUUCGCUUCGUCGCGGACGAGUUUGCCGCGAACGGGUCACGCGAUAAAAUCCAUCGAGAGCACGGAUCGCGGGAGAUCUCCGAUGGAAUAUCGCGAGCGUAACGCCGUCGUCGCCGUAUCGCGUCGCGAUACGAUCUCGAUCCUACGCGUAGUGCGUUUGGAUUCCGAUGUGCGUGCCGAGUUGGAUUACGCCGCGGGGUUACUCGACGGAGUGAUCGAGGAAGUGGGAGUCUCGCGGCUGUGAUCAGCGCGCCGCGCCGCGCCGCGCCGCGCGCACCGGUCGGGAUCGAUCGAGCGGAAAGGCAAAAAAUCAUUCCGGCAAACGAGGAUCCCGGAGGCCUCGCGUCGUUACAAGGAUCAAGGAUCAAUGAUCUCGGUGCGAUGAUUUUUCGAAUUCUCCGGGGAAAUAUACAGUUAGGCGUUUUCCCCGGUAUCUCGCGCGCGGACGCCUCGUCGAGUAAACGAGCCAUCAUCGCAGUUGAAAUGAGACCUCGCGAGGGCGAUCGCUUCUGUUCUAAACGAACCAAGUCUUCGCGGGAUCUUUGACUUUUACGCUUCUGCUACAACGAAACGUGCUCUCGUGUUCUCACCGAACACUGCAAACUCGAACAAGAAAUUUUCUCGCUAUGUAAAGAGAGAGAGAGAGAGAGACAGAGAAAGAGUGGCCUGAUAAAAAGGAAGGAUUUGCCAACUUCCUGCGAGUUGGAGCGUGAGAGAAAGGCCGCCUCGCAACCACCUCGUAUGUUCGACGAACAGACGAGCGCAAGAUCGCAUCGUGAAGCUCCGAAUUGAACUUUGGACGUCCCAGGCGGACUUCCUCCGCAUGACAGCUCCAUUUUCUCAUAAAUCAAAUCGAAAAGAAUCCGUUAUGCGUCUGGCGCAGCCGUAGGAGCUGCCUCUCAAUGGCAGAGACUUCUCAAUUCGCAAGUUCAACGUUAGGAGGAUUGUGAGGAUCUCUUACAGAAAGAAUUCGCAGGCGGCAGAUGGGAAUAUACGCAAGCUGCAGAGGGCUCGAGUGUGACACGUGAAGGAAUAAAGCACAACAUCGUUUCGCGGAGAAGCGGAGGCAUGCACACGCGAGGACGGCGCGAACGGCCGCCGGCUCGCGCCACCUUCGCCGACGGGGAACGUCCCCAGAGACUUCGACGCGUGCACAGGAACAUCGCUGAUUCCAAAACAAUCAUGCAUGGCGGACGGUAAGGGCGGAAAAUGUCGAGGAUGACUUGGGCCUUAGUGGUCCUGUGGUGGCUGCAUUUGAAUCCUACUGGCCUGCUAAGUCCCAAGUUACCUCCGGCGCAAGCGCGAUGGUGCCUCUCGCCGACUGAAAGAAACUUCCAGUGAACAUUUUCCUAAAUCUUAAAGCGAAGCGUCUCCACCUCUCAAACACAACGGUAAAUCCUUUAAUUAUAUGACAAAUAUGUGUUUAUAUAUGUAGAUUGUAGUUUGACAAUAACAACGUUCGGGCAUGAAAAAUGUAAAAAAGAAAAUUCAUUUUGUUGCUCAUGUAUAAAUGUUUCUCGUUUGUAUAAAGAUGUGUUGUAAUUGAUGUUUACAAUUGCAAUAACAAUGUUUCACUUUUCCAUCUAUUUUUCAAUGCUCGAACAAUAAUAAAGACAAUGUUGUUAUCAUUUUAUUUCAAACUUAUUUGUCCAGAAUGGAAAUUAUCGUUAUUUAAGUGUUCGUUAAGAAUUUUGUUACCUGAUAGUUUCUAAGAUCUCCAACUCAAUUCAUAGAGUUGUAAAAUAAAGUUUGACGAUAUACGAAUAUAAUUUAUAAUAUAAGAAAAUCAUGCGCAUUUAAUAUGUAAAUUAAUUUUACAAUUCUUAAAUGCUUAAAUUUUCAAAGAAUUACUAUGGGUUCAAGUAUCAUUUGUUUUUAAUGUAUGUAUGUACAUACUGUCGCAGCAAGUAUCAAUUGUCACUUGUUAAUAUGUUUAAAUGUGCAUGUGUAGUAGAUAUGUGUCAUACGUAAUCGAUCAUUUGCAACGAUUGUGGGAAAAUCAGAGAUAAAAUACUGACUUAUACAAUAAAUCCGAUCGUAAUUAAUAAUUCACGCAGCAAUUAUUAUCUGUCAGUCCUCGCGUUUCCUAACUGUCCUUUAUGAGUCUAUCGUUUCUUUUACGAAAUCAAAAUACAUUCCCAGUCCGGAGAAAGUCAGAGAUAUUCAAAAUUUGUUAAAGAAAAAUUAUUAAAAUAAUAUUAAAUUUCAAUUGGCGAAAUUAAACGAAUUAAACGAAUAUUAUUUUAACUAUUUAGAAAAAAAAGGAAAAUGCAACGAUAAAUGCAAUUAUUCAACAAUGUAUCAAUCAAGGAUUUUAUUAAUUAAUUAUAUGUAAUUUUUUAAAUAUAUCUUCUUAGAUUCUACUACUAAUUGAACGAUAAUAUGAUUGUGGCGUAAUAAUUCCGCGUUUGUCCUUUGUGCCAAAGAUCCAGAUUUAAAUCCACCCGAAACCUAUCAGGAUAUAUAUUAUAAAAUUAUUUUGAAUGAAUUCUAAUCGGAAUUAUUUUCUUUUCCUUAGAAAACACAACAAAAAUCUAGGAGAUAAUUCCGAAUUCAUUCCAAAAAUUUAUAAUACAGGGCCAAAUUUUUAAUGAAUUGUUAUCUCUCAAAAGACAAUGACAAACCAAAGGUACGACAGUACCUUUGUCAAGAUAGUUAUCAUAGGCCUGUACGCUUUGAGUGAUAUACAGCAAUAAUUUUAAUAUUAUUUACUAUUAAUCAUACAUAUUUUUUGCACGAUGAAAGAUGCUGCAAUACGUGGAAUGUACGCGGAAAAAUUUCAUUAAAAAUAAAAUUAUUAAUGAAAUAAAUCGCAGGCUUUCGAGACUAGUGUUUGUUGAGGCAGCUUUGGGGUUUCUAUGCGGCAUGUGCCUCGACACGGAAUGAACGCAAUGCCCUUGGAAAUCCCAAAGGAGUCCAACGCAUCGCAACAACAAGAGGAGGAUUUACGAGGACGAUAUAUUGGACUCACCAAUUUUGCGCUGUCCAGCAACUCGGUUCUGCGGAAUCUCGGGUAAUCACCGCGCAAAGGGGUAUCAUUGGCAAUGUUCUGAUUCUGCCAAUCGAGACUCGACAAAUCCGGCGGGAGCCUAUUCAUCGCUCAAUGUAAUUCCUGUAACGCACAAUACACAGAGUUUAUGCGGCUAAUGACUUCGUAAUAGCGUCAUUUACGUAAUUCGAAUUUAAUUGAAAUUUCAGCGGGAGCAGAGAUGUCUGACCAAAAAUUCUUCAAAUGCCAAUUAUGUAUUACAAUACGUGAUGUAAACACAACUCGUAUAAAGUCGAACAGAGUUAAAGCUGUCGACUGAAAUCCACAAUAACAUACGUCUGUUCCAAGUUAUCUAUUAUACACUCGUUCAAAUAUCUCAGGAAUCCCGCAAUUAAUAAUUUGUAAAGAAAAAGUUUGUAAUACCUCAUUAAAAUUUUAUUUCUGAAUCAUAAUUAAUUUGUCAAAGUUUCGAUUAUUAAGAAUUUUAUUGUAACAGAUCGAAAAUUACACGGAAAUAAAGUUCUACGUAUGAGGAAUAACUCGCUUUUUCUAAUGCUUUACUUUUGCAAGCGUUUUCUUUUUAUUGGGAUAUUAAGUACCUUUGUAAGAUUCGUUCGAAUGACACGUACCGCAGCCGUCUAUCCGCUGAUACUUUCCAACCGAAACUACUGUGGUGUGUCAACUAAUCUGAGCGGAUAGCUGAGGUUGAAAAACUAUCAACACGUACGUCGAUUAUAAUCGCCGCGAUUGUAUCGCAGUGUGCCAAAGUGUAACAAAAGUCACAAGGUCAAUCGUCGGAAACGAGCCUGUUUUGUAUAAAACCGUUAUCGGUGUGUUGUAUAAAAAAAAAAAAUAAAGAAAAAACUAUUGCAUAAUCUAUUUGUGUAUCUGCCAAAUGCGACAAUUUUUUAAAUCGUGUUUUACAUAAGUCGUUAAUCACGAUAAAAUAAAGUGACAAUAAAUAGUGUGAAUCUCCGAAUAAGAUAAAUGAAAUUCGAGAAAUGCUUUGAACAAAUUUUCAAACGGUAAUAUGAAUCUAACGAUACGUGCCGUGGUGUUACAUUAACACAGACAAAAAUAGGCAUAUGUAUUAUCAGAAAUAAAGGAUUUAUUAAAGGUGUAAACAUACUUUUAAAUAUAUAUUUCUUUGUUACAUACGAUGCUGACAUUCGUCUAAUGGUUAGAAGUGAAGGUCAAUGAAAUUAAAGUAUUUUUUUUUUUCAUUCAGUAUCUUUAGGUACUGCAU